AUCGAAUACUUAGUCACAUCGAAUACUUAGUGACAUCGAAUACUUAGUGACAUCGAAUACUUCGAUGACAUCGAAUGUUUAAAGGACAUCGAAUGAAAGGAAAAAAUGAAGGGGAAAAAACUUAGAAAUAACCAAGCGACGAGCUAGUUUAAAUACUAACGAAUGCAUAAAAAUACACAUAAUAUACAAAUUACAUUUACACCACACGUACAUUACAUACACACGAUCGAAUACUUAGAAGACAUCAAAUACUUAGAUAACAUCUAAUGAAAAAAAAAAGAGCGUGGAAAAAAAACUAAAACACUCAGUUGAACGUACGACCCAAAACUAAGCGACUAAUUAAAUGAUUCUGAUCGAGCCGGUUCAAGCUGAUGCAACCCACUUUGCGCCCAAUAUCUUCAAUCAAAAAGGACGACCAUAAAAAGACUAGAAAACAAAGAAGUUACAAAAUCUGCUGUUUCAAAUUUGGAGUAUUAAAAAUUCCCUGUUAAGAGCAAAAAGUUCAGAGGAGUGAAACGAGCCUUGCAGUGCAGUAGUUCAGUUCAUCAGGGCGACCAUGAAUUCCAUUAAUUAUCGACAAAUGACGGCAAGCACUUGAAAGAUCGAAAAGAGAUGCCAAAAAAGGGAGGACGGUACAUCUCUAUACUGAAUUGUGAAUUCAAGCCAAUUCCUUGAUAUUGGGAUAUACACUGAAGUCAACCACCGAGCUGCACCACCAAGACUUAAACCAUUCAACCACUCUAUUGGAUCGUGUUCCUGCUCCUUCUGUCCGGCACUAUUAUUGCCUACUUUAUGGCCAUCUAUUUGUAAAGACACCAACAAAAAUACACUCGGCAAAGAAGCAAACUUCA
Molecule: long non-coding RNA, 851 nt
Organism: Drosophila rhopaloa
Lineage: Eukaryota; Metazoa; Arthropoda; Insecta; Diptera; Drosophilidae
Exons: 4
Source: RefSeq, a predicted model, not a curated record